UUCUUUUUCCUAGCCUAGCCUCCCUUAUAAACCACCUGUACCCAAGCCCUUAUUUUAAGCUGUGCUUUCAAGGGAACUCAAACCAAGACAUUAAGCUAGAUUUGUUCAUGUGUGGAUGUGAUGGAACUGAAGUCGCUAGGUUCAUGCUACCUGGAACAUGAGACUGACAAAUAGAGGAGCACUGAGUCAAAUGAAUCUCGGAGAAAUGGAGCUGGAAGAAAACUGGAUGGCAUACUCUCAUUUUAUCCAUUUCUGACAGGAAUGAAAGAAAAGAUAUACGCAAAGUGGAUUCUAAUCAUAGAGUUUCAUUCUUGUUGCCCAGGCUGGAGUGCAAUGGUGUGAUCUUGGCUCACCGCAACCUUGACCUCCUAGGUUCAAGUGAUUCUCCUGUCUCAGUCUCCUGAGUAGCUAGUAUUACAGGCAUGCACCACUAUGCCCGGCUAAUUUUGUAUUUUUAGUUGAGAUGGGGUUUCUCCAUGUUGGUCAGGCUGGUCUCGAACUCCCGACCUCAGGUGAUCCACCUGCUUCAGCCUCCCAAAGUGCUGGGAUUACAGGUGUGAGCAGCCGUGCCCUGCUGAAACUUAUUUGUUUGAGCAAUAAAAGCCACAUAUUUCCUCUUUUGAUAAA
Molecule: long non-coding RNA, 627 nt
Organism: Homo sapiens (human)
Lineage: Eukaryota; Metazoa; Chordata; Mammalia; Primates; Hominidae
Source: Ensembl